Non-coding RNA from Cyanistes caeruleus (blue tit), 294 nucleotides. NCBI's taxonomy places the organism in Eukaryota, Metazoa, Chordata, Aves, Passeriformes, Paridae. The record is from RefSeq and is a predicted model, not a curated record.
AGGCACGGAGAGGAUGCCCAGUGCUCAGCUUACUGAGGAACCAGCACAGCUCCAUGUAGAUGACACAGCCAGAGAGUGCUGCAUAGACCGUGAUGAAAGGUCUUGAAUCUUCAAGAAGAUAUCACAUUUUUUCUGGUUUCCUUUAUCAAUAAUGAACUUCUAGAAGCUUGAUUAUUUUUAAAACUGAAACUGACAUUGUGAUUUAUUAUUGUAUGAUUUCAGAAGACAACAGUCGAGAGGAAAAAGUCAUAUAAAAGCAGGCAAUACAUUAAAGUUACGACUGUUCUAAAAUAA